This 452-nucleotide ribosomal RNA is filed under the name uncultured bacterium. RNAcentral's name for it is "bacterial SSU rRNA". It matches the Rfam family "Bacterial small subunit ribosomal RNA", at positions 340 to 786 of the family's 1533-position model. The record is from RNAcentral.
UACGGAAGGCAGCAGUGGGGAAUAUUGCACAAUGGGCGCAAGCCUGAUGCAGCCAUGCCGCGUGUAUGAAGAAGGCCUUCGGGUUGUAAAGUACUUUCAGUCGUGAGGAAGGUGUUAAGGUUAAUAACCUUAGCAAUUGACGUUAGCGACAGAAGAAGCACCGGCUAACUCCGUGCCAGCAGCCGCGGUAAUACGGAGGGUGCGAGCGUUAAUCGGAAUUACUGGGCGUAAAGGGCACGCAGGCGGUUAAUUAAGUUGGAUGUGAAAUCCCCGGGCUUAACCUGGGAAUGGCAUUCAAGACUGGUUAGCUAGAGUCUUGUAGAGGGGGUAGAAUUCCAUGUGUAGCGGUGAAAUGCGUAGAGAUGUGGAGGAAUACCGGUGGCGAAGGCGGCCCCUGGACAAAGACUGACGCUCAUGUGCGAAAGCUGGGGAGCAAACAGGGAUUAGAUACC